AUUGAACGCUGGCGGCAGGCUUAACACAUGCAAGUCGAGCGGAGACUUCGGUCUUAGCGGCGAACGGGUGAGUAAUACCUAGGAAUCUGCCUAUUAGUGGGGGAUAACGAAUCGAAAGGUUCGCUAAUACCGCAUACGUCCUACGGGAGAAAGGGGGGGAUCUUCGGACCUCUCGCUAAUAGAUGAGCCUAGGCCGGAUUAGCUAGUUGGUAGGGUAAAGGCCUACCAAGGCGACGAUCUGUAGCUGGCCUGAGAGGGGGAUCCCCCACACUGGUACUGAGACACGGACCAGACUCCUACGGGAGGCAGCAGUGAGGAAUAUUGGACAAUGGGCGAGAGCCUGAUCCAGCCAUGCCGCGUGCAGGAAGACGGCCCUAU
This 378-nucleotide ribosomal RNA is filed under the name uncultured bacterium. RNAcentral describes it as "bacterial SSU rRNA". It matches the Rfam family "Bacterial small subunit ribosomal RNA", at positions 30 to 420 of the family's 1533-position model. The record is from RNAcentral.